Molecule: non-coding RNA, 26 nt
Filed under: Homo sapiens (human)
Lineage: Eukaryota; Metazoa; Chordata; Mammalia; Primates; Hominidae
Source: RNAcentral
UGAGGUAAAUGGCAGUGGUAAGAGGU